GCUUUUGGUUCAGUGGUAGAAUGCUCGCCUGCCACGCGGGCGCCCCCCGCCCCAUAUUAUAGUGGCGGGCGCCCGGGUUCGAUUCCCGGCAGAUGCA
This is a non-coding RNA of Cordylochernes scorpioides, 97 nucleotides long. NCBI's taxonomy places the organism in Eukaryota, Metazoa, Arthropoda, Arachnida, Pseudoscorpiones, Chernetidae. The record is from the annotation of a GenBank genome assembly.